Molecule: non-coding RNA, 372 nt
Organism: Tetranychus urticae (two-spotted spider mite)
Lineage: Eukaryota; Metazoa; Arthropoda; Arachnida; Trombidiformes; Tetranychidae
Source: RefSeq, a predicted model, not a curated record
UUCAGCUUUUUCUUCCGCUUCAAGCGUUUAUUAUCGAUUGAAAACGCUUUGUUUCAAUUAUUUAUUCAAAUUUAAAUUUAUUUUUGUGUUUUUGUAAUGGAGCGAAUAAGUUCUGCAAACAUCCUGACUUCUUUGCGGGCAAUAGAUCUGCCAUCAUCUACAAGAGAGCUCAAUGUUUUCAUUGCCAAUCUGCCGUUAAUGCGAGGAGAGGAAAUACGUCAAAGAGUGAUUUAAGCUACGUCUCAAUAAGACAUCUCGUCAUCUGAAAAUGAUAAGGUUAAAUGUUUGUUUAAUCACAUUGCCUUCACUCUGUACUGGUAAAUGGAUUUCGAUCAAACUAUGGGUGUUAAUAAAUUAACUUUAGGCGUUUAA